RNAcentral lists this ribosomal RNA (768 nucleotides) under uncultured bacterium. RNAcentral describes it as "bacterial SSU rRNA". It matches the Rfam family "Bacterial small subunit ribosomal RNA", at positions 28 to 776 of the family's 1533-position model. The record is from RNAcentral.
GACGAACGCUGGCGGCGUGCCUAAUACAUGCAAGUCGAGCGAAGUUUUUCUGGUGCUUGCACUAGAAAAACUUAGCGGCGAACGGGUGAGUAACACGUAAAGAACCUGCCUCAUAGACUGGGACAACUAUUGGAAACGAUAGCUAAUACCGGAUAACAGCAUUAACUGCAUGGUUGAUGUUUAAAAGUUGGUUUUGCUAACACUAUGAGAUGGCUUUGCGGUGCAUUAGCUAGUUGGUGGGGUAAAGGCCUACCAAGGCGACGAUGCAUAGCCGACCUGAGAGGGUGAUCGGCCACACUGGGACUGAGACACGGCCCAGACUCCUACGGGAGGCAGCAGUAGGGAAUCUUCCGCAAUGGGCGAAAGCCUGACGGAGCAACGCCGCGUGAGUGAAGAAGGAUUUCGGUUCGUAAAGCUCUGUUGUUAGGGAAGAAUGAUUGUGUAGUAACUAUACACAGUAGAGACGGUACCUAACCAGAAAGCCACGGCUAACUACGUGCCAGCAGCCGCGGUAAUACGUAGGUGGCAAGCGUUGUCCGGAAUUAUUGGGCGUAAAGCGCGCGCAGGUGGUUUAAUAAGUCUGAUGUGAAAGCCCACGGCUCAACCGUGGAGGGUCAUUGGAAACUGUUAAACUUGAGUGCAGGAGAGAAAAGUGGAAUUCCUAGUGUAGCGGUGAAAUGCGUAGAAAUUAGGAGGAACACCAGUGGCGAAGGCGGCUUUUUGGCCUGUAACUGACACUGAGGCGCGAAAGCGUGGGGAGCAAACAGG